Molecule: ribosomal RNA, 252 nt
Filed under: uncultured bacterium
Lineage: Bacteria
Description: partial 16S ribosomal RNA
Rfam family: Bacterial small subunit ribosomal RNA
Source: RNAcentral
UACGGAGGAUGCGAGCGUUAUCCGGAUUUAUUGGGUUCAAAGGGUGCGUAGGCGGGCUGUUAAGUCAGCGGUAAAAGCCCGGGGCUCAACCCCGGCGAGCCGUUGAAACUGGCUGUCUUGAGAUGUCGAGAGGUAUGCGGAAUGCGCAGUGUAGCGGUGAAAUGCUUAGAUAUUGCGCAGAACUCCGAUUGCGAAGGCAGCAUACCGGCGGCGAUCUGACGCUGAGGCACGAAAGCGUGAGUAUCGAACAGG